GCUGAAGCUGAUCCGCGCCCCCAGCUGCUGCCCGGUCUCCUCCCGGAUCCCCGCCGCCGCCGACGCGAAGUUCACGCCGGUCAGCAGCUGGUCGCUGCUCGCGCCGGCGAACGGCGGGAUGAAGUCCUCGAACCCCAGAAGCUUAGAGAUGACGUCGACGGUGGUGAGGCCGUUGCUGAAGCGGCCGGUGGCGGCGCCGCCGGCGAAGUCGAUGCCGUAGGGCGGGUAGUUGGCGCGGGCCAGCGACACGA
RNAcentral lists this unclassified non-coding RNA (251 nucleotides) under Hevea brasiliensis (rubber tree). Lineage: Eukaryota; Viridiplantae; Streptophyta; Magnoliopsida; Malpighiales; Euphorbiaceae. The record is from RNAcentral.